GAUGAACGCUGGCGGCGUGCCUAAUACAUGCAAGUCGAGCGAACGGACGAGAAGCUUGCUUCUCUGAUGUUAGCGGCGGACGGGUGAGUAACACGUGGAUAACCUACCUAUAAGACUGGGAUAACUUCGGGAAACCGUAGCUAAUACCGGCUAAUAUUUUGUACCGCAUGGUUCAAAAGUGAAAGACGGUCUUGCUGUCACUUAUAGAUGCAUCCACGCUGCAUUAGCUAGUUGGUAAGGUAACGGCUUACCAAGGCAACGAUGCAUAGCAGACAUGAGAGGGUGAUCGGCCACACGGGAACUGAGACACGGUCCAGACACCUACGGGGGGCAGCAGUAGGGAAUCUUCCGCGAUGGGCGAAAGCCUGACGGAGCAACACCGCGUGAAUGAUGAAGGUCUUCGGAUCGUAAAACUCUGUUAUUAGGAAAGAACAAAUGUGUAAGUAACUGUGCACAUCUUGACGGUACCUAAUCAGAAAGCCACGGCUAACUACGUG
This 497-nucleotide ribosomal RNA is filed under the name uncultured bacterium. RNAcentral describes it as "partial 16S ribosomal RNA". It matches the Rfam family "Bacterial small subunit ribosomal RNA", at positions 28 to 507 of the family's 1533-position model. The record is from RNAcentral.